AUACGUAGGGGGCGAGUGUUGUCCGGAAUGAUUGGGCGUAAAGGGCGCGUAGGCGGCCCGGUAAGUCUGGAGUGAAAGUCCUGUUUUUAAGAUGGGAAUUGCUUUGGAUACUGUCGGGCUUGAGUGCAGGAGAGGUAGGUGGAAUUCCCAGUGUAGCGGUGAAAUGCGUAGAGAUUGGGAGGAACACCAGUGGCGAAGGCGUCUUACUGGACUGUAACUGACGCUGAGGCGCGAAAGUGUGGGGAGCAAACAGGAUUAGAUACCCUGGUAGUCCACACUGUAAACGGUGAAUGCUAGGUGUAGGGGGUAUCGACCCCUUCUGUGCCGCAGUCAACACAAUAAGCAUUCCGCCUGGGGAGUACGGCCGCAAGGUUGAAACUCAAAUGAAUUGGCGGGG
This 397-nucleotide ribosomal RNA is filed under the name uncultured bacterium. RNAcentral describes it as "partial 16S ribosomal RNA". It matches the Rfam family "Bacterial small subunit ribosomal RNA", at positions 523 to 918 of the family's 1533-position model. The record is from RNAcentral.